GGAGAAGUAGCUAGCUAGCUAGCUAGGCUGAGAAGCACCAUCUUGUAAGAAGAGAGAGAAGCAAGGAUACUCGGUAAGUAUUAUUUUAGAAAACCAUUAGCCUAGCUCUUUAGAACAGAAGACUCAAAAUCGAUAUGGUAAUAACCCUAGACUUAAUUUAAUUUUAUACAAUAUAUAGUUUGUCAAAUGUUUCAAUGUAACCAAUUGCUAUAGAUUGUAAUUACUCUUCAAUCACAGUUAUAGUUAUUCUCUAUGCUUGGACAUGAAUGCCCAGUUGACUAAAUUCUAUAUAUGCGUAUCAUUUCUGGAAAAAGUCAUAUAUAUAAAUAUACACCAGACAGCUGAACUGAAUAAGCCAAUAAGGGAAGUCGUCAAUGUUGUUUUUUAAGCCUGAAAGGUCAAACGACUAUAAAAUAGAACUUCAACGCAGGUUAAUUUUCAACAAAUUCUCUGAACUCGACCUGAUGCUUGAUACCUCUGAACCCCUGGAUUUUUGCAUUUCUUUUUCCUCAAAAACUUUAAUUUGUUUAAUUAUCUUGCAAAUAGCUAGCUAUGUAUCCUUAAAUGAGUCUCACAACUUGUCUUUCUCAAAAGCGUGUGUGUGUGUGUGUGUGUAAACAAUUUGUCCUUGUUUAAUCAGGCAUGUAGGCAGAAAGAACAAAAGUCAAUAACAAUAGGCUAAAAGAGUGGCCAAUUAUUUCAAGUUGAUGCACUAGCUAGGGCAACUAAAUUAACACAUCCUAUAUAGCCUGGCAGUUUGAAAAUAUUUCAGUAUAACGAGAUAACAUGUAUUGAUAUAUCUGUAUGUUUUGCAAAUUAAAUUUGCUAGCAUUUUAACAUGACUUGCUGCUGUGGUACUGCAGAAGUAGAUUGAUGAUCAUUCCGCACGCCGAAAACGUCGAGUCCAAUAUUGAUUUGAUGUAAAAUGGGUCGCAUAUGGCAUGAUUUAUGGGAUUCAAAGAUUCAAUCAUGGAGAAAAGACUGCAAAUUUUCCUUUUUCACAUGAUAUAUAUCUCAAAGCAAUCUAUUCCAUUGCGUGCUGAAGAUAUCGUAAAGUUG
Molecule: long non-coding RNA, 1059 nt
Filed under: Citrus sinensis (sweet orange)
Lineage: Eukaryota; Viridiplantae; Streptophyta; Magnoliopsida; Sapindales; Rutaceae
Description: long non-coding RNA (CSIN_LNC002986)
Source: RNAcentral